AGUGGGGCUAGAGUUGCCUCCCCAGGAGGGGCUGGAGGUCAGGGCCUGGUGGGCUCUGCAGGCUUAUCAGUUCAGCACAACGUGCUCCUGCAUUCAAGAAACAGGGCAUGGGGCUGCUCACUGGCACUGGAGGCCGAAAGAAGGUGAGGGCAAGUGAGAUGCAGGGACCUCUUCUCACAGCUGUGCUGACAAGCACAAAAAGGAGCCCCCCACGUCCACACCAGGAAAGGGGGGAUGGUGCACAAGAUCCAGCAGGAACUUUGGAGUCACACUGACGUGGGUUCAAAUCCCAGCUCUGCCGCUGAGCAACUGUGAGAUCUUGGCAAAUGUUUAACUUUCCUGAUCCUCUAUUGACUCAUAUGCUAAAUGUGACUUAGAAUGCUUGUGUCGUAAGACUGGCGUGAGAUAAAGUACGGCAAGUGGGAAACACAAAGCCUGUGCACGUGAGGCCCUCAACAGAAAAAGCUGAAUUGCUGUGUACUGGUAGCCUCCUUUCUCUUACCAGGAAGCCCACGCCUCUGGCUAAACCCUCAGGCUCACUUGCCCACCAUUACCAGGUGCCUGUCUCCCUUGCCUGUCUUCCCUUGACUCGGGGAACUUCACCUGCUUUCCUUCCCUAGAAGGCCCCAGCGCCCACCUUGCUUGCUGUCCUUCAAAUCAAACAACCUGCCCUUUCUUCUAAAAAGGCUUUACUGUUAUCACUAAAGGGAAACAAAAAGGUGCAACUAAAACUAGCCUUCCUUAAGCCUGGGCCCAAGUCCCAACCCUGAUGCUAACUUGCAGUGCUACCUUCAAUAAGGUGUCCAGCUUCUCAAAGCCUCAAUUCUCUUACCUGUCAAUGAAGAGGGCUGUCCUAAAAGAGCUUUAAGAGUCUCUCCUACCCUACAAAAUUGUUUUAUUUUAGAAACAAAAGAAACAUCUUGCAAAAUCUUCAUAAGUACUUAUAUCCCGUAUUUCUCUCCAUACUCUUCUCAUGCGUGAUCGGCUGACUCCCAAACUUCUUGCCAAAGUGCUCCUUUAUCCUGAGAUGUUAGUGCCCCUCACCACCACCACCAGCCUCUGGGUUCCCCCGACUCCCCCUGUGCUCUCAAUCUGCCUGCAUUCUUUGGGCAUCAUGUUCUGGAAGAUUGAUAGGGCUUUAGGUAUUCAGGUAGCUCAAUGAGCCAUUUUCUUCCCAGGUGGCUCAUUCCUUAGGGCAUAAUCCUUCCUGUCCUCCUUCCCUUUUUCUCACAUAAUCCUUGUUUCAGUCAACUUAAGCUAAGUUCAGCAAUGGUAACAAAUGAUCCCAAAUCUUAGUGGCUUACAAUAGCCAAGAGCUAUUUCUUGCUCAUAUUCAUGUGCAUGGCAGGUUGGCAAGGCCUGUUCCACAUCCUCUUCAUCCCAGAACUGAGAAGUCUCACCUGAUGGAGGAAGAACCAAUGGCAGAGCCAUGUGAUGGAUCCUCAAGCUUCUGCUUGAACCAAGUCCAUGUCACUUCCAUUUACAUUGUAUCAGCUAAAGCAAGUCACACAGGCCAGCCUGCUGUCGGUAGGACAGGAGGUGACAGGACAAAAGCCCAGAGACAUGAGAUAAUUAGCCUGAGCUAACGCAGCAAAUCAGUGGAAGAGGAGGGACUAGAGCCCAAAUGUGUUGACCUUCCAGUGCAGAUACAACAGAAGGGCCAAGAGGAGAUAGGUCUGGAUUCAAUCCCAGCUCCAUAAUUCUAGGCAAAUUCUUUCAACUCUGAGCCUUGGCUUCCCUUCUAUAAUAUAGGCUAAGAGCACCCACCUCCUGCAGGGAGGUUGGGAGAGCUGGCUGAAAUUUCAUAAA
This is a long non-coding RNA of Homo sapiens (human), 1809 nucleotides long. Ensembl annotates it as long intergenic non-protein coding RNA 1657. Lineage: Eukaryota; Metazoa; Chordata; Mammalia; Primates; Hominidae. The record is from Ensembl.